This 433-nucleotide ribosomal RNA is filed under the name uncultured bacterium. RNAcentral's name for it is "partial 16S ribosomal RNA". It matches the Rfam family "Bacterial small subunit ribosomal RNA", at positions 29 to 507 of the family's 1533-position model. The record is from RNAcentral.
AACGAACGCUGGCGGCAUGCCUAACACAUGCAAGUCGAACGAACCCUUCGGGGUUAGUGGCGCACGGGUGCGUAACGCGUGGGAAUCUGCCCUUUGCUUCGGAAUAACUCAGGGAAACUUGUGCUAAUACCGGAUGAUGUCUUCGGACCAAAGAUUUAUCGGCAAGGGAUGAGCCCGCGUAGGAUUAGGUAGUUGGUGGGGUAAAGGCCUACCAAGCCGACGAUCCUUAGCUGGUCUGAGAGGAUGAUCAGCCACACUGGGACUGAGACACGGCCCAGACUCCUACGGGAGGCAGCAGUGGGGAAUAUUGGACAAUGGGCGCAAGCCUGACCCAGCAAUGCCGCGUGAGUGAUGAAGGCCCUCGGGUCGUAAAGCUCUUUUACCAGGGAUGAUAAUGACAGUACCUGGAGAAUAAGCUCCGGCUAACUCCGUG